AUGCUCACUUCAGCAUCACAUUUACUAAAAUUGGAACGAUACAGAGAAGAUUAAUGUGGCCCCUACACAAGGAUGACAUGCAAAUUUGUGAAGUGUUCCAUAUUUUU
Molecule: small nuclear RNA, 107 nt
Organism: Vulpes vulpes (red fox)
Lineage: Eukaryota; Metazoa; Chordata; Mammalia; Carnivora; Canidae
Source: Ensembl